CAGCACCUCAAGUGGUCAGGAUGAUUAUUGGGCCUAAAGCGUCCGUAGCCGGCUCUGUAAGUUUUCGGUUAAAUCUGUACGCUCAACGUACAGGCUGCCGGGAAUACUGCAGAGCUAGGGAGUGGGAGAGGUAGACGGUACUCGGUAGGAAGGGGUAAAAUCCUUUGAUCUAUUGAUGACCACCUGUGGCGAAGGCGGUCUACCAGAACACGUCCGACGGUGAGGGAUGAAAGCUGGGGGAGCAAACCGGAUUAGAUACCCGAGUAGUCC
This 270-nucleotide ribosomal RNA is filed under the name uncultured archaeon. RNAcentral's name for it is "partial 16S ribosomal RNA". It matches the Rfam family "Archaeal small subunit ribosomal RNA", at positions 477 to 747 of the family's 1478-position model. The record is from RNAcentral.